GAGCGGCGAACGGGUGAGUAACACGUGAGUAACCUGCCCUGGACUUUGGGAUAACCCUCGGAAACGGGGGCUAAUACCGGAUACGACUUUUNCUCGCAUGGGGAAGGGUGGAAAGUUUUUCGGUCUGGGAUGGGCUCGCGGCCUAUCAGCUUGUUGGUGGGGUGAUGGCCUACCAAGGCGACGACGGGUAGCCGGCCUGAGAGGGCGACCGGCCACACUGGGACUGAGACACGGCCCAGACUCCUACGGGAGGCAGCAGUGGGGAAUAUUGCACAAUGGGCGGAAGCCUGAUGCAGCGACGCCGCGUGAGGGAUGACGGCCUUCGGGUUGUAAACCUCUUUCAGCAGGGACGAAGCGUAAGUGACGGUACCUGCAGAAGAAGCGCCGGCCAACUACGUGCCAGCAGCCGCGGUAAGACGUAGGGCGCGAGCGUUGUCCGGAUUUAUUGGGCGUAAAGAGCUCGUAGGCGGCUUGUCGCGUCGAAUGUGAAAACCUGCAGCUCAACUGCAGGCUUGCAUUCGAUACGGGCAGGCUCGAGUUCNGGUAGGGGAGACUGGAAUUCCU
Molecule: ribosomal RNA, 564 nt
Filed under: Actinoplanes sp. 410E09
Lineage: Bacteria; Bacillati; Actinomycetota; Actinomycetes; Micromonosporales; Micromonosporaceae
Description: bacterial SSU rRNA
Rfam family: Bacterial small subunit ribosomal RNA
Source: RNAcentral